Molecule: long non-coding RNA, 1486 nt
Organism: Pistacia vera
Lineage: Eukaryota; Viridiplantae; Streptophyta; Magnoliopsida; Sapindales; Anacardiaceae
Exons: 3
Source: RefSeq, a predicted model, not a curated record
GUGGAACUGCGUCGUUUUAAUAUCCAAUAUAUCCCAGCGACAGCCGCAAGCCAAUGGCGGAGCCGUCGUCCGCAGCUCGUGCUUGCGCCAUGGAAGCAAUUAGUACUCAUCGCUGCACUCUCAGUGCAGUAGCUUGCGGUGGAUAUGUAAGCAACGCAAUUGCACUAGCGAGAGUAGCUCUCUCGGCCUAAGCGAGCUUCUUGCGUGGCGCCACGAUCGGCUUAUUUUUCCCGUCAUCGAUCACCAGGAGACUUCAAUUUUGUGCACAGAUAAUGGAAUGACGCUAUUGUUGUUUGUAGUUCGUCGGAGGGUUCGAGUUGCCUAAUAGUGUCCGUAAUGCAGAGGACAUUGUGGCAGAUGUUGAUUAUGUUGAAUUACAGCCUGAGGAUUGUCAAUUGCUUUGUCAUUCUGAUGGACUAGAUAAACUUCAUUGUAACCGACAUUGCUGCCUCACCAAUCGCUUUCCGACAACCUGUUAUUAUGAAUGAUUCACACAGGUUUGUAUGUCAUCUCUGAAAUUGCAUUGACGUUAAGCUCUAUUUUUAUUAUUUUUGUUCAUUAGAUUUCAUUUUUUUUAUUAUUGAGAUUUAAUAGACAUUUUUCUUGACUGAAUGCUCUUACCACAACAUCUCCAUUUGUUUCAUUCAAAGGCAUUUUGUGAAGUUCAGGAUAUGAUCAGUUCCUAUCACAGAUGCAUUAUACAUGCAUUCCUAUCACAAGAUUUCUUCAACUGGGACUGGGUUAAGUUACGUUACUGUGAUGGAGCAUCUUUCAGUGGGGAUAGUUGAAAUGAUGCUGUAAAUUUUCGAGGACAGUGUAUCUGGUUAGCUGCUAAAGAACAUUUCAUGGCCAAGGGAAUGCAAAAUGCUGCACAGGUUUAAUAUGCAUUUAAAAUUCAUUUUUCUUUCUUAUUUUCUAUUUUCUAUUUUAUUUUUUUGCUUAGCCUUGAAUUUAUGAUAGUUUUAUGCAUCCAUCUACUGAGGAUCUUCUUUCUGGAUGCUCUGCUGGGGAUUUAGCAUACAUGCUUCAUUGUGAUGAGUUUCGGGACUUAUUUCCAAACACAACUAAAGUCAAAUGCCUAAGUGAUGGUGGAAUGUUCCUUGAUGCGUAAUUCUCUUAAAUUAUGAUAUCCAUUGGGAUUCAAUUCUUUAUCUGUAAGCACAUUCCAAACUAAUGAUCUUCAUUUAUUCAAUUGAGUUGAUCUCUCUGGUGGGCACAGCCUAAGGAAUAUGUAUGCCAGCAUUGUUAGCUUACAGGUACCAUAGAAAAUUUUUUUACUUUCCAUGAUGGAAAAUUCAAUUUAACUAUGACAUGAAGUUCUGUAUUUGACCUUUUUUCUGGAAUAUUAAGAAGUGCAAAAGAAUCUGCCUAGAACUUGUACCAGAAAGCUAGAUCAAACUUUGGUAAACAUCGCUCUUUUUUUUAUUAUUAACUUCAUUUCUCACUGUUUUAGAUCUUUCUAAUUCAUAGCCUUACUUGCUUACAA